UACGUAGGGUGCAAGCGUUGUCCGGAAUUAUUGGGCGUAAAGAGCUCGUAGGCGGUUUGUCGCGUCGAAUGUGAAAACCCGGGGCUCAACCCCGGGCCUGCAUUCGAUACGGGCAGACUAGAGUUCGGUAGGGGAGAUUGGAAUUCCUGGUGUAGCGGUGGAAUGCGCAGAUAUCAGGAGGAACACCGAUGGCGAAGGCAGAUCUCUGGGCCGUAACUGACGCUGAGGAGCGAAAGCAUGGGGAGCGAACAGG
RNAcentral lists this ribosomal RNA (253 nucleotides) under uncultured bacterium. RNAcentral describes it as "partial 16S ribosomal RNA". It matches the Rfam family "Bacterial small subunit ribosomal RNA", at positions 524 to 776 of the family's 1533-position model. The record is from RNAcentral.